Molecule: ribosomal RNA, 497 nt
Filed under: uncultured bacterium
Lineage: Bacteria
Description: partial 16S ribosomal RNA
Rfam family: Bacterial small subunit ribosomal RNA
Source: RNAcentral
GAUGAACGCUGGCGGCGUGCCUAAUACAUGCAAGUCGAGCGAACGGACGAGAAGCUUGCUUUUCUGAUGUUAGCGGCGGACGGGUGAGUAACACGUGGAUAACCUACCUAUAAGACUGGGAUAACUUCGGGAAACCGGAGCUAAUACCGGAUAAUAUUUUGAACCGCAUGGUUCAAAAGUGAAAGACGGUCUUGCUGUCACUUAUAGAUGGAUCCGCGCUGCAUUAGCUAGUUGGUAAGGUAACGGCUUACCAAGGCAACGAUGCAUAGCCGACCUGGGAGGGUGAUCGGCCACACUGGAACUGAGACACGGUCCAGACUCCUACGGGGGGCAGCAGUAGGGAAUCUUCCGCAAUGGGCGAAAGCCUGACGGAGCAACGCCGCGUGAGUGAUGAAGGUCUUCGGAUCGUAAAACUCUGUUAUUAGGGAAGAACAUAUGUGUAAGUAACUGUGCACAUCUUGACGGUACCUAAUCAGAAAGCCACGGCUAACUACGUG